CCACUGAUCUACGUGGUAUCGCCCUCCUUGCAGUUAGGCUAACUACUUCUGGUGCAACCCACUCCCAUGGUGUGACGGGCGGUGUGUACAAGGCCCGGGAACGUAUUCACCGCGACAUUCUGAUCCGCGAUUACUAGCGAUUCCGACUUCACGCAGUCGAGUUGCAGACUGCGAUCCGGACUACGAUCGGCUUUCUGGGAUUGGCUCCCCCUCGCGGGUUGGCAACCCUUUGUACCGACCAUUGUAUCACGUGUGAAGCCCUACCCAUAAGGGCCAUGAUGACUUGACGUCAUCCCCACCUUCCUCCGGUUUGUCACCGGCAGUCUCCUUAAAGUGCCCUUUCUUACCCACUAAUGACUAAGGUUGCGCUCUUUGCUCGAUUUAACCCUUCAUCUCACGACACAAGCUGACAACUGCCAUGCGCCACCUGUGUUCCGGUUCUCUUUUCACCAAUGCCCAAUCUCUUCUGUGUUCCAUACAUGUCAAGGGUAGGUAAGGUUUUUCUCUUUGCAUCUAAUUAAUCCACAUCACCCGCCCCUUGUGCGGGUCCCCCCCCAUUCAAUUCACUUGUAAUCUU
This 577-nucleotide ribosomal RNA is filed under the name Achromobacter xylosoxidans. RNAcentral describes it as "partial 16S ribosomal RNA". Lineage: Bacteria; Pseudomonadati; Pseudomonadota; Betaproteobacteria; Burkholderiales; Alcaligenaceae. The record is from RNAcentral.